Long non-coding RNA from Myotis brandtii (Brandt's bat), 1012 nucleotides. RefSeq lists it as uncharacterized. The transcript is spliced from 5 exons. The record is from RefSeq and is a predicted model, not a curated record. NCBI's taxonomy places the organism in Eukaryota, Metazoa, Chordata, Mammalia, Chiroptera, Vespertilionidae.
GAGAUCAGGAGAGGUGGUGUGACUGGAACAAAGGGAAGCUCUAGAGGGCCAUACAGGGGAGCCAAUAGGAGACCCCAGAAUUGAAGGGGCCAGGAGGAUAGCUCGGCUGGUUUCUAGGCCAAGGUUGGGUUAGUGAAGGAAGAAGCAUAAUUUAGAAGUACACCGACAGGAAAACCACAAGGAAGAGUAAGCGACGUUUCCCAGAUCUCCUUGUUUGGUUCGACUGUUGCAGUAGGGGAUGAUAGCACUGCUUCCCUGUGAUCUCCACCCCACCGCAAUCGACAUGACAAGCGUUGAAAUGGGAGCCUCACGGUGGCGCCCUCUACCUUUGCCGGCCCCUUCUGCAGCGAGGAGCAGGUCACUCUGCAGAGCACCGGUUCUCAAACUUGAAUAGUGGCUGGACCCCUUCUUAAAAGAACCGAUUCUUCUCUGACCUGGAAAACGUUCUACUUCCCAAAAGGAUCUUAUCGAAAUGAAUGCUCAUCAGGAACUGCCUGCUUUGAAGAAAAUCAUAAGGAAUCCAUUUAGUUUGCAUGAUUGGAACUCUGGGUCUUUUCCAAAAUAUGUGUGUUUGCAAGUGAAAUGGGGAGCCUGGUUUGCCCAUGUUCUGCAGAAUUAAAGUGCAGUCUGUGUCUUCUAUGCAAGAAAUCCAGCUUGGAUGUGAUAUAUUACCUACCUUAUAUUAGUCUUUAGGUGUCUGUGCCAGUUUGCUGGCAAACAAUAAAGGCUUUCUCUACUAGACUUCCAGAAAAGAGUUAAUUCUAUUAGAAAUGUAUUCUAUUAUGAAAUCCUAGCACUCAGAUAUUUAUAAUUUUUCAUUUUUCUGUGACGUAGAAAAGUAUGCAUACUCGAAUCAUUGGCAGCAAUGAAAAUAUCUGACAGUGCAGUCCAGGCAGAGGAGAGAUAUUUCAUCAACAAGUAUUUUUACACAGCCACUGUCCCCAGACCUGUAGCAGGCACUUCGGAGGAAAAUAAAGGCUCUGACUUCAGGGACCUACUGUCAAUUGAGGAA